RNAcentral lists this transfer RNA (75 nucleotides) under Cellvibrionaceae bacterium. RNAcentral's name for it is "tRNA-Lys". It matches the Rfam family "tRNA". Rfam says of the family: Transfer RNA (tRNA) molecules are approximately 80 nucleotides in length. Their secondary structure includes four short double-helical elements and three loops (D, anti-codon, and T loops). Lineage: Bacteria; Pseudomonadati; Pseudomonadota; Gammaproteobacteria; Cellvibrionales; Cellvibrionaceae. The record is from RNAcentral.
UGGGGUAUGGCAUAGCGGUUGUGCACCGGCCUUUUAAGCCGGCUUAGGUGGGUUCAACUCCCACUGCCCCAACCA